This 73-nucleotide transfer RNA is filed under the name Elusimicrobiota bacterium. Its description in RNAcentral is "tRNA-Arg". It matches the Rfam family "tRNA". From Rfam's summary of the family: Transfer RNA (tRNA) molecules are approximately 80 nucleotides in length. The record is from RNAcentral. Lineage: Bacteria; Pseudomonadati; Elusimicrobiota.
GUGCUUGUAGCUCAAUUGGAUAGAGCACCAGCCUCCGGAGCUGGUGAUUCCGGUUCAAGUCCGGACAGGCACA